Molecule: ribosomal RNA, 450 nt
Filed under: uncultured bacterium
Lineage: Bacteria
Description: partial 16S ribosomal RNA
Rfam family: Bacterial small subunit ribosomal RNA
Source: RNAcentral
GUGGGGAAUCUUCCGCAAUGGACGAAAGUCUGACGGAGCAACGCCGCGUGAGUGAAGAAGGUUUUCGGAUCGUAAAGCUCUUUCGUUAGGGACGAACGUGCUCUUUGUGAAUAAUGAGGAGUAAUGACGGUACCUAAAUAAGAAGCCACGGCUAACUACGUGCCAGCAGCCGCGGUAAUACGUAGGUGGCAAGCGUUGUCCGGAAUUAUUGGGCGUAAAGCGCGCGCAGGCGGGAUAUCAAGUCUGUCUUAAAGGUGCGAGGCUCAAGCUGGUGAGGGGCCAGAAACUGGUAUUCUUGAGUGUCGGAGAGGAAAGUGGAAUUCCAAGUGUAGCGGUGAAAUGCGUAGAGAUGUGGAAGAACACCAGUGGCGAAGGCGACUUUCUGGACGAUGUCUGACGCUGAGGCGCGAAAGCUAGGGGAGCGAACGGGAUUAGAUACCCCAGUAGUCC